UGCAAGUCGAGCGCGGGAAGCGAACGGAACUCUUCGGAGGGAAGUUCGUGGAACGAGCGGCGGACGGGUGAGUAACACGUAGGCAACCUGCCUGUAAGACUGGGAUAACUCGCGGAAACGCGAGCUAAUACCGGAUAACACUUUCUAUCACCUGAUGGAAAGUUGAAAGGCGGCUUUUGCUGUCACUUACAGAUGGGCCUGCGGCGCAUUAGCUAGUUGGUGAGGUAACGGCUCACCAAGGCGACGAUGCGUAGCCGACCUGAGAGGGUGAUCGGCCACACUGGGACUGAGACACGGCCCAGACUCCUACGGGAGGCAGCAGUAGGGAAUCUUCCGCAAUGGACGAAAGUCUGACGGAGCAACGCCGCGUGAGUGAUGAAGGUUUUCGGAUCGUAAAACUCUGUUGUCAGGGAAGAACAAGUACGAUAGUAACUGAUCCUACCUUGACGGUACCUGACCAGAAAGCCACGGCUAACUACGUGCCAGCAGCCGCGGUAAUACGUAGGUGGCAAGCGUUGUCCGGAAUUAUUGGGCGUAAAGCGCUCGCAGGCGGUUCUUUAAGUCUGAUGUGAAAUCUUGCGGCUCAACCGCAAACGUGCAUUGGAAACUGGAGGACUUGAGUGCAGAAGAGGAGAGUGGAAUUCCACGUGUAGCGGUGAAAUGCGUAGAGAUGUGGAGGAACACCAGUGGCGAAGGCGACUCUCUGGUCUGUAACUGACGCUGAGGAGCGAAAGCGUGGGGAGCGAACAGGAUUAGAUACCCUGGUAGUCCACGCCGUAAACGAUGAGUGCUAGGUGUUAGGGGGUUUCCGCCCCUUAGUGCUGAAGUUAACGCAUUAAGCACUCCGCCUGGGGAGUACGGCCGCAAGGCUGAAACUCAAAAGAAUUGACGGGGACCCGCACAAGCGGUGGAGCAUGUGGUUUAAUUCGAAGCAACGCGAGAACCUUACCAGUCUUGACAUCCUUUGACCGCUCUAGAGAUAGAG
This 985-nucleotide ribosomal RNA is filed under the name Oceanobacillus oncorhynchi subsp. incaldanensis. RNAcentral describes it as "bacterial SSU rRNA". It matches the Rfam family "Bacterial small subunit ribosomal RNA", at positions 56 to 1011 of the family's 1533-position model. The record is from RNAcentral. Lineage: Bacteria; Bacillati; Bacillota; Bacilli; Caryophanales; Bacillaceae.